AUGGAUUGUUUGUCUUUAGCCUCUUUUGCUGCCUUAAGAAAUAUUUCAGCCACUCCUUGGAAUAUUAGGAAUGAUCUUGCUCAUUUUUUCAAAGAUACCUCUAAUUUGAAUGCUCAAGUGUUUCACAUUUCUAGGGAGAUAAAUGGUAUUGCUCACAAUCUUGGUCAGCAGGUUUUUAGAUCUAAUGCUAGCUCUCAAAUCUCUUGCUUUGCUCACGCUCAUUCCCAUCAGUCUUGCCCCAUGGUUUCUCAUCUUUCUCACUUUCAGAUUCAAGGCAUAAAUCUGCAUACUAUUCACUGUUAUUAG
This 306-nucleotide ribosomal RNA is filed under the name Triticum aestivum (bread wheat). RNAcentral describes it as "partial small subunit ribosomal RNA". The record is from RNAcentral. Lineage: Eukaryota; Viridiplantae; Streptophyta; Magnoliopsida; Poales; Poaceae.